Molecule: ribosomal RNA, 254 nt
Filed under: uncultured bacterium
Lineage: Bacteria
Description: partial 16S ribosomal RNA
Rfam family: Bacterial small subunit ribosomal RNA
Source: RNAcentral
UACAGAGGUCCCAAGCGUUGUUCGGAUUCACUGGGCGUAAAGGGUGCGUAGGUGGUGAGGUAAGUCGGAUGUGAAAGCUCCGAGCUCAACUCGGAAAUGGCAUUGGAAACUACCUUGCUAGAGGGUUUGAGGGGGGACUGGAAUACUUGGUGUAGCAGUGAAAUGCGUAGAUAUCAAGUGGAACACCAGUGGCGAAGGCGAGUCCCUGGAAAACUCCUGACACUGAGGCACGAAAAGCUAGGGGAGCAAACAGG